This 478-nucleotide ribosomal RNA is filed under the name uncultured bacterium. Its description in RNAcentral is "partial 16S ribosomal RNA". It matches the Rfam family "Bacterial small subunit ribosomal RNA", at positions 28 to 523 of the family's 1533-position model. The record is from RNAcentral.
GACGAACGCUGGCGGCGUGCUUAACACAUGCAAGUCGAACGGUAAGGCCCUUCGGGGUACACGAGUGGCGAACGGGUGAGUAACACGUGGGUGAUCUGCCCUGCACUUCGGGAUAAGCCUGGGAAACUGGGUCUAAUACCGGAUAGGACCCUGGGAUGCAUGUCCUGGGGUGGAAAGCUUUUGCGGUGUGGGAUGGGCCCGCGGCCUAUCAGCUUGUUGGUGGGGUGAGGGCCUACCAAGGCGACGACGGGUAGCCGGCCUGGGAGGGUGACCGGCCACACUGGGACUGAGAUACGGCCCAGACUCCUACGGGAGGCAGCAGUGGGGAAUAUUGCACAAUGGGCGCAAGCCUGAUGCAGCGACGCCGCGUGAGGGAUGACGGCCUUCGGGUUGUAAACCUCUUUCAGCACCGACGAAGCGCAAGUGACGGUAGGUGCAGAAGAAGGACCGGCCAACUACGUGCCAGCCGCCGCUGUAA